Molecule: long non-coding RNA, 914 nt
Organism: Cyprinus carpio (common carp)
Lineage: Eukaryota; Metazoa; Chordata; Actinopteri; Cypriniformes; Cyprinidae
Source: Ensembl
CUUGCCUUUCAAUAAUCUGAAAUACAGUAGUGUUGAGUCCAUGUAAAUUUUUCUUCAUUACACAUAAUGCAUGACAUUUGUGUGAAAUAUACAAUGAAUUGUAAAUGAUAAGCCACAUAUCUAUAAUAAAUAAUCUUGCCCUUAAAUAAUCUGAAAUACAAUAGUGUUGAGUCCAUGUAAAUUUUUCUAAUGCAUGACAUUUGUAUGAAAUAUACAAUGAAUUGUAUAAGCUACAUAUCUAUAAUAAAUAAUCAAUGCUAACUUUUGUCAUGUGACCUGAGUCAAAGAAUGAGUCAUCUUUUUGUCUCUAGGUGCUGUUGUCACACAUGGUGUGGUUCGGACUGGAAAACUUUCAGCUUUGUGAGAGCAAAUGCAACAAGCUGUCACACAGACUUUACAUUUAUUUAUUGAGGCACUUUUAUCUAAAGUGCCUUACUCACUUUUAUCUAAAAUGAUUCAUCUGUUAAGGAUACUUAACAUGCUAAUCACAAAGAACUUUACUGUAGAAAAUUACUGUAUUGGGAAACUGUUGAUAUCAGAUGUGAGAUAAUACUAUGGUACUAUGUUAUACAUACACCAUAAUGAAUGAUUAACUUACAUUCUACAUUACUUUUGUCAUGUGACAGGUACUGUUGGAAUUGGCUCAGCUGGUGUCACAUGACUACACCUCUCUGAAUGACAUGCUCAGCAAACUGUCUGCUGUCAUCCUGCCAGUUACAAAAGCACAAUUCUGUACUAUUUUCAUCUCAGAUGACAGUUCCACGGGGCCUUUCUCAAAGAUGGUCAAUAUAGAGCAUAAAGAAACCAAUUGCUCUUUCCAGUGUUCUACAAGGAGGCUGUCAUCCUUUCAGCAGAUCGCCUCUGUUUACUGGACUUUGGCUUCAGUGAUUUUGAUAUGUCCCAGAAUGCCAUGA